GUGAGGAAUAUUGGUCAAUGGGCGCAAGCCUGAACCAGCCAUCCCGCGUGAAGGACGACGGCCCUAUGGGUUGUAAACUUCUUUUGUACGGGAAGCACGUGCGCUAUGUAUAGCGUAUUGACGGUACCGUACGAAUAAGCAUCGGCUAACUCCGUGCCAGCAGCCGCGGUAAUACGGAGGAUGCGAGCGUUAUCCGGAUUCAUUGGGUUUAAAGGGUGCGUAGGCGGCCCGGUAAGUCAGCGGUGAAAGUUUGCGGCUCAACCGUAAAAUUGCCGUUGAUACUGUCGGGCUUGAGUUCAGAUGAAGUGGGCGGAAUGAGUAGUGUAGCGGUGAAAUGCUUAGAUAUUACUCAGAACACCGAUUGCGAAGGCAGCCCACUAAACUGCGACUGACGCUGAUGCACGAAAGCGUGGGGAUCGAACAGGAUUAGAAACCCGUGUAGUCC
RNAcentral lists this ribosomal RNA (445 nucleotides) under uncultured bacterium. RNAcentral's name for it is "partial 16S ribosomal RNA". It matches the Rfam family "Bacterial small subunit ribosomal RNA", at positions 354 to 796 of the family's 1533-position model. The record is from RNAcentral.